This 253-nucleotide ribosomal RNA is filed under the name uncultured bacterium. Its description in RNAcentral is "partial 16S ribosomal RNA". It matches the Rfam family "Bacterial small subunit ribosomal RNA", at positions 524 to 776 of the family's 1533-position model. The record is from RNAcentral.
UACGUAGGGUGCAAGCGUUGUCCGGAAUUAUUGGGCGUAAAGAACUCGUAGGCGGUCUGUCGCGUCGGCUGUGAAAACUCGGGGCUCAACCCCGAGCCUGCAGUCGAUACGGGCAGACUAGAGUGCUGUAGGGGAGACUGGAAUUCCUGGUGUAGCGGUGAAAUGCGCAGAUAUCAGGAGGAACACCGGUGGCGAAGGCGGGUCUCUGGGAAUGUCCUGACGCUGAGGAGCGAAAGUGUGGGGAGCGAACAGG